Acinonyx jubatus (cheetah) is the source of this 7560-nucleotide RNA transcript. It is a transcript of the gene named terminal uridylyl transferase 4, with no coding region annotated. The transcript is spliced from 33 exons. NCBI's taxonomy places the organism in Eukaryota, Metazoa, Chordata, Mammalia, Carnivora, Felidae. The record is from RefSeq and is a predicted model, not a curated record.
CCUCCCCCCAUUGGUGUUUACCGCCCCCACUCUCCCCGGUUUAAGCGGCGCCUACGGGCCCCCAGAACUAAGGGGGGGUACCCCUGAACUCAACCCUCUGCGUCUCCUCUCCAGGGUCUCCUCCGCGACUCUCCCCUGCCCAACCCUCGGGGUCAGGACUCGUCAAGAUUCCGUCCCUCUCUCCCCUCCCCCCUUCCCUGGCUCCCCCUCGGCCCCCUCCCCUCAGCGGGUCCUCCUUUUUCUCUCCCUCUCCCUCCUCCUCCCCCACCCCAUCCCUUCCCCCCCACAAUGCAGUUCGCGGCGCGGCGGACAUGGCGGUGGAGUCCUGAGCUCGUCGUGUCCUGGCCUCCAGCGGCGGCGGCAGUGACGGCGGCGGCGGCAGCGGGAGGCGGCGGGGGGAGCGGGAGCCACUGAGAUGAGGAGGCGCCGCGCGCGCCUGUAGCUCGCGGGCCUCUCAGAGAAUGUCAAUCUGGACAGAGAUCAAGGCAGAGGAUACAUACUGCUUUACUACAAUAGGAAUUAUAAAACUUAGGUGCACGUUGAGUAAGAUGUUGUGGUGGAGACAUAGCUAGUUUGUUUGCCUAAUCUGGACUUGAAGCAAUUCAACUACUAGAAAUCUGCCAUUUUACAAUAUCACAAUUGGGAAGAAGCAGGUUUUCAAAUAAUGGAAGAGUCUAAGACCUCUAAAAAUGAAAAUCAUGAACCAAAGAAGAAUGCUUGGGCUCUUUCUGAAGAAAGCAAAGCAGUUAAAGUUAUAUCUAAUCAAACUUUGAAAGCUAGAAAUGAUAAAUCCAUAAAAGAAAUUGGGACCAGCUCUCCAAGUAGGAAUAGUAGUAAAAAAAAUAAGCAAAAUGAUAUUUGUAUAGAAAAGACAGAAGUUAAAUCAUGUAAAGUAAAUGCUGCCAAUGUAGCAAGUCCUAAAGAUUUGGGAUUAGUCCUUCGAGAUCAAAGUCAUUGCAAAACAAAAAAAUCACCUAAUUCACCGGUAAAAGCAGAGAAGGUACCUGUUUCACAGGCAAAAGCAGAAAAGUCACCAAAGUCAUCUAAUUCACCAGUGAAAACAGAAAAGACAUCCAGCUCCCAGGCAAUAGCAGCAGAAAAGGCACUUAGUUCACAGAGGAAAACAGAAAAAGUACCCAUUGCUCAGAUGAAAUCAGAAAAGGUCCCUGGUUCGCUAACAGAACCAGAGAAGGCACCCAGUUUACCAUUAAAAGAAAACAUGCGACAGAUAGAAUUACAGCAGAUUGGAAGAAAAAUUCCAAGUUCCUUUACUUCUCUGGACAAAGUGAAUAUUGAUGUUGUAGAGGGAGAAAAAUCUGCUUUGGAAAACUCACCACGAUCUCAGAAGCAACAAGCAUGUACAGAUAAUACUGGUGAUUCCGAUGAUAGUGCUUCGGGAAUUGAAGACAUAUCAGAUGAUUUGAGUAAAAUGAAGAAUGAUGAAUCUAUUAAAGAAAAUUCUUCAGAGAUGGACUAUUUAGAAAAUGCUACUGUGAUAGAUGAAUCUGCAUUGACACCUGAGCAGAGGCUAGGCUUGAAACAAGCAGAAGAACGCUUAGAAAGAGAUCACAUCUUUCGACUUGAAAAACGCUCACCAGAAUAUACCAAUUGCCGAUAUCUAUGCAAACUUUGCUUAAUUCACAUUGAAAACAUCCAGGGAGCUCAUAAACAUAUAAAGGAGAAACGACAUAAGAAAAAUAUUUUGGAAAAACAGGAAGAAAGUGAGCUUCGUUCUCUGCCACCUCCUUCCCCUGCCCACUUGGCUGCUUUAAGUGUUGCAGUUAUUGAAUUAGCAAAAGAACACGGAAUAACAGAUGAUGACCUCAGAGUCCGUCAGGAAAUUGUGGAGGAAAUGUCAAAGGUUAUAACAACAUUUUUACCAGAGUGUUCACUUAGGUUGUAUGGCUCAUCUCUGACUAAGUUUGCUCUGAAAAGUAGUGAUGUUAAUAUAGAUAUAAAAUUUCCUCCCAGGAUGAAUCAUCCAGAUCUUCUGAUACAAGUGCUUGGGAUUUUAAAAAAAAGUGUAUUAUAUAUAGAUGUGGAAUCUGAUUUUCAUGCCAAAGUUCCUGUUGUGGUGUGCAAAGAUCGGAAAAGUGGUUUACUUUGUAGAGUGAGUGCAGGAAAUGAUAUGGCAUGCCUCACUACUGAUUUACUUGCUGCUCUUGGCAAGACGGAACCUGUUUUUACUCCUUUGGUGUUAGCCUUUCGCUACUGGGCUAAGUUAUGCUAUAUUGACUCCCAAACUGAUGGCGGAAUCCCUUCUUACUGUUUUGCUUUAAUGGUGAUGUUUUUUCUACAACAAAGAAAACCCCCUCUUCUUCCUUGCUUACUUGGAAGUUGGAUUGAAGGCUUUGACCCAAAAAGAAUGGAUGACUUUCAGCUGAAGGGCAUAGUAGAAGAGAAGUUUGUGAAGUGGGAAUAUAAUUCAAGUAGUGCAACUGAGAAAAACUCAAUUGCUGAGGAAAACAAAGCUAAGGCAGACCAACCAAAAGAUGAUACCAAGAAGACAGAAACAGACAACCAAAGUAAUGCCAUGAAGGAAAAACAUGGCAAAUCUCCUUUAACAUUGGGAACACCAAAUCAGGUAUCCCUGGGACAAUUAUGGUUAGAGCUGCUAAAAUUUUACACACUGGAUUUUGCUUUGGAAGAAUAUGUCAUAUGUGUACGGAUACAAGAUAUUUUAACAAGAGAAAACAAAAACUGGCCUAAAAGGCGAAUAGCCAUUGAAGAUCCAUUUUCAGUUAAGAGGAAUGUUGCACGGAGCUUAAACAGCCAGCUUGUUUAUGAAUACGUUGUGGAGAGAUUCAGGGCAGCUUAUCGGUAUUUUGCCUGUCCUCAGAGGAAGGGUGGAAAUAAAUCUACAGUGGAUUCCAUGAAAAAAGAGAAGGGAAAAAUAAGCAAUAAGAAACCAGUGAAGUCUGACAAUAUGGCAUCCAGUUGUUGCAUUCUACAUGGAGAAAGCACAGAAAAAAUAAAUGCAGAAAGAGGUCAACCUGAUAAAUAUGAUGAAAUGGAAUGUACAUCACAGAGAUGUAUUACUGAAGAUGACAGUUUGUUGGUAAAUGAGCUAGAUUUGGCUGAACUUGGACAGGAAUCUUCAUCUCUUUCUACCAGUGGAGGCAGUGAAUUAGAGCCAAAAUCAAUUAAGAAACAAGAUGAUUUAGCACCGUCAGAAACCUGUCUAAAAAAGGAACUCAGCCAGUGUAAUUGCAUUGGUUAUAAAUCCCCUGACCCAGAUGAAUCUUCUGGUACAGACUGCCAGUCAAAUAUAGAAACAGAGAGUUCACAUCAGAUUGUGAGCACUGACACAUCUGCUACCUCCUGCAACUGCAAAGCUACAGAAGAUGCUUCUGACUUUAAUGAUGAUGAUAACCACCCCACCCAGGAAUUAUAUUAUGUGUUUGAUAAGUUUAUUUUAACCUCUGGCAAGCCACCAACGAUAGUAUGCAGCAUCUGCAAAAAAGAUGGCCAUUCAAAAAAUGAUUGUCCAGAGGAUUUCAGGAAAAUUGAUCUAAAACCUCUACCACCAAUGACAAAUCGAUUUCGGGAAAUACUUGAUUUAGUAUGUAAAAGAUGUUUUGAUGAGUUAUCACCACCCUUUUCUGAACAACACAACAGGGAGCAAAUUUUAAUUGGCUUGGAAAAGUUUAUUCAAAAAGAAUAUGAUGAAAAGGCCAGAUUGUGCUUAUUUGGCUCUUCUAAGAAUGGAUUUGGAUUUCGUGAUAGUGAUCUGGAUAUUUGUAUGACCCUGGAAGGCCAUGAAAAUGCAGAGAAAUUAAACUGUAAGGAAAUAAUUGAAAAUUUGGCAAAAAUUCUUAAGAGACAUCCAGGUUUAAGAAACAUUUUGCCUAUAACUACUGCCAAAGUGCCUAUAGUAAAAUUUGAACAUAGACGAAGUGGUUUAGAAGGCGAUAUCAGUUUAUAUAAUACAUUGGCUCAACAUAACACAAGAAUGCUAGCUACUUAUGCAGCUAUUGAUCCUAGAGUACAAUACUUGGGAUAUACUAUGAAAGUGUUUGCAAAGCGAUGUGACAUUGGAGAUGCUUCCAGGGGAAGUUUAUCUUCAUAUGCUUAUAUCCUUAUGGUGCUGUACUUUCUGCAGCAGAGAAAACCACCUGUUAUCCCAGUUCUACAAGAGAUCUUUGAUGGAAAACAGAUUCCACAGCGAAUGGUUGAUGGAUGGAAUGCAUUUUUCUUUGAUAAAACAGAAGAGCUGAAAAAGCGUUUACCUUCACUUGGAAAGAAUACAGAAACGUUAGGAGAGCUUUGGUUGGGACUGCUUCGCUUCUAUACUGAAGAGUUUGAUUUCAAGGAAUAUGUAAUUAGCAUUCGGCAGAAAAAGCUGUUGACAACUUUUGAGAAGCAGUGGACAUCCAAAUGCAUUGCAAUUGAAGAUCCUUUUGACUUGAAUCAUAACCUUGGUGCUGGAGUUUCUAGGAAAAUGACCAAUUUUAUCAUGAAGGCAUUUAUCAAUGGAAGGAAACUUUUUGGUACCCCCUUUUAUCCACUCAUUGGCAGAGAAGCUGAGUACUUCUUUGAUUCCAGAGUAUUAACAGAUGGAGAACUGGCUCCCAAUGAUCGAUGCUGUCGUGUGUGUGGAAAAAUAGGCCACUACAUGAAAGACUGCCCUAAAAGGAGAAGCAGUUUACUGUUUAGACUAAAGAAGAAAGACAGUGAAGAAGAGAAGGAUGGGAAUGAAGAGGAGAAAGACUCCCGAGACCUUCUUGAUCCCCGAGACCUCCAUGACACUCGAGAGUUUAGAGACCCCAGAGACCUCAGAUGCUUCAUAUGUGGAGAUGCUGGACAUGUACGAAGGGAGUGCCCAGAGGUCAAGCUGGCCCGUCAGAGGAAUAGCAGUGUGGCUGCAGCCCAGUUGGUCCGCAACCUCGUAAAUGCCCAGCAAGUGGCUGGUUCAGCCCAGCAACAGGGUGAUCAGUCCGUAAGGACUAGACAGUCCUCAGAAUGUUCUGAUUCACCAUCUUAUUCUCCUCAGCCCCAACCAUUUCCACAGAACUCAUCCCAGUCAGCUGCCAUUACCCAGUCUCCAUCCCAGCCAGGAUCCCAACCCAAGCUUGGCCCACCUCAGCAGGGAGCCCAGCCCCCACAUCAGGUCCAGAUGCCUAUGUAUAACUUUCCCCAGUCACCACCAGCUCAGUAUUCUCCCAUGCACAAUAUGGGACUGUUGCCAAUGCACCCUCUCCAGAUCCCUGCCCCGUCCUGGCCUAUUCACGGCCCAGUGAUCCACUCUGCACCAGGCAGUGCCCCCAGCAAUAUUGGCCUGAACGAUCCCAGCAUCAUCUUUGCACAGCCUGCUGCCAGACCUGUGGCGAUCCCUAACUCCUCUCAUGAUGGACACUGGCCUCGUACUGUGGCUCCAAAUUCCCUGGUGAACAAUGGUACAGUGGGAAAUUCGGAGCCAGGCUUUCCAGGACUAAAUCCUCCAAUUCCUUGGGAACAUGCACCACGUCCCCAUUUCCCUCUUGUCCCAGCUUCGUGGCCUUAUGGUUUGCAUCAAAACUUCAUGCAUCAGGGAAAUGCCAGAUUUCAGCCCAACAAACCGUUCUAUACUCAAGACAGAUGUGCCACCCGUCGGUGUAGAGAGCGUUGUCCCCACCCACCAAGAGGAAACGUGUCGGAGUAAUGCGAGUCCAUUUUCUUUCAGCUGGUCUACCGAUGCACAGCAACCAGCCAAUCCUGCUGUCUCAAGGGUAUCCGUACCUCAAUGUCAGUUACAUUCAGCAGAAAAAGUGACAUUUAAUGGAAAGCAAAACAAAUCAGAUAUGCAUUACUUAAAUAGGAGACUCUGGGCUUUUGCCAUAUUUUCCAACUUGGAAGAUGCUUGAAAUCUAUUGCAGGAGGUUGAGGGCUUUCCUGCCAUAUUUACAGCCCUGAAAAGGUCAUUAAGCCAGAAGACAUUUCUUUCCAUCCGGAUCACUUUGGUAAAGAACUAACUUCUAGGACUCUGUAACAGAUAUCAAUAGAGGUGCUUAUAUUUAAUUCUUAAAGGCAGUCUUAUAUAUAGUUGUAUGAUGAAUAACAUUAACAUUAGCUCUUAUGGAUGACUUUUAUCAGCUCAAGUAUUACCAGGUGAGGAAUCGUUGAAGAAUGUAAAAUCUCAAAUCUCCCAAAAUGCUUUAACAUUGCUGCAAAAGUCCUUCAGUUCAACAGCAAGCAAAAGAAUGUUAAUCCUGUGACCAGAUCUGGCUUCCCAAGAAACUAGAUCGUAUGAGGCAAUUGGUCUUCAGAAUUCUUGGUAGGUCCAGAGCUGUGGGAAUUCCAAUCACUUCCCCCCACCCCUCUUUUUUUCCACUGUUUCCUUUUUAAAGGAAAAAAGUUAAGUACUAGUAGAAUGAACUCUUCUAGCAAAGAUUUCAACACCUUCUUGAUUAUCAAUGCCCACGGACACUUUGCAGUUCUUAUUUUGCUUCUAAGUCCUCAAACCCUUAGCUUCUUUGAUAUACUGUCUCCUAAUUCUUCUACCUUUCUGAAAGUUCAUUUCCAUUUUCAGGUGGUUGACUGCAUUGCUUUCUCUCACCAGUGUUGAGUGUUGCCUACGCUUCUGUUGUUGGCUUUUCUUACAUAAACACACUUCCUGGGCAGCCCCCAUUUAAUUCUACAUCUUCCACAAUUACCUAAAUGUUGUCAAUUCAGGGUUAGAUCACUAUGCUCAACUCCAAUUCCUACUUCUAACAACCUGGGCUUUAUCUAGAUAUACCGUAGCAGUCUCUAUACUUUAAGUAAAAUUGAAUGCAUCAUUUUUACUACCAAAACAACUUUCACCACCUGCCCCCUCUAAAGCUUGGCCUCUUCCUGCUGUACUUUCUAGCUUUGUGAAUAAAUGGCACUAUUUGCCAGCAAAUGAAGUCAAAACCGUGAAUGGUAUUAGAUACUUAACUCUCCUUUUCAAUCUUAUAGGCCCACUGCUACCGACUAAACUUGGAAAAUAAUGACAGUCUUUUCAAGGUAAAGGCUGAGCACCAUAACCUAGAAUUCAAGGCUUAUGGGGAAGAAAAAACAUUAUAUAAGAAUGUUGUGUAAAAGGUGUCAAGUUCCAUUGUUGAACUGUUCAAUGCAACUGGAUUAAAUGAUCCAGAAGAAGUCUUAACAUUUGAAUACAUUCUGUUCUUACAAAGCUGCUGCUAACUCAUCAGUUUUCAUGUUUAUUAUGUAGUGCUGCUGAAAAAAAGUCUGGGAGAGAAUAGGUUUUACUGACUUGAGUUUUGAGUGUAACAGCAGCAGCACAAAUCUCAGGAUUCUCAGAACAGUUCUAAUCACGGAGCAAACCAAAACUAAACUACAGAAAUACAGAAAGUGGAUGUGUAAAAUUUAAUAAUAAAAGGGUCACCAUGCAGCCACAUCCUCUCCUUGUCAUUCAUCCUCUCCACCCCUCAAAUCCCUUACAAAGUUGAGUACAGUCAAGGUUGGUUGUACAGAGGGGUCGAAAGCAGCCCUUGGGAAGUGCUAUCCCUCAAAUGUGGAUUAUGAUUCAAAGAGCGAUACAAAACUCAGCACCUCUUUCAUUAAAAAAAAAAAAAAAAAGUGGAGAAACUUGGUUAAAAA